RNAcentral lists this ribosomal RNA (675 nucleotides) under Triticum aestivum (bread wheat). RNAcentral describes it as "partial small subunit ribosomal RNA". The record is from RNAcentral. Lineage: Eukaryota; Viridiplantae; Streptophyta; Magnoliopsida; Poales; Poaceae.
AUGCACUUUCUUCCCCGUCUUCCACUCUUCUUCCCCCUCUCUUCUUCUUCCUCCUCUCUUCCCCAUCGUCGGCCGCACACCAUUUACCCCCGCUCACUGCUCGCCUGCCCGCGCCAUCUUCCUUGCAGACGCAAAUGCGCUGGCCUUCAUGAUUCCAGGACCUGGAAUCAUACCAGCCGAUGGGUGGUGUUGAAAAAGGAUUGGCCGGUGCUGCCGGCUGGUCUCAAGUUCGAUCCCACGGAUCAGGCGUUGGUCGAGCACCUUGAGGCCAAAGUGAGUGCUGACAGCGCGAGAUUUCAGUCUCUCAUCGAUUUGUUCAUACCAACCAUCGACAGUGAGCACAGCAUAUGCUACACCCAACCUGAGAAACUUCCAGGUAUCACACUGAGUGGCCUAAGGAAGCAUUUCUUCCAGCACAAUUCCAGGGCGUUCAAAAGGGACACGUGGACGCGUUGCAAGAUACAGUCGGAGUGCGGCAUGCGCGCGAUGUGGCACAAGACCGACAAUACCUUGCCGGUGAUGGUCAACGGCCGGCAGAUGGGCAACAAAAAAAGGUUGUGGUGCUGCACACCAACAAGAACUUCAACCAGCAUAGGACCAACUAGGUCGAGCAACUUUCAACUGGGCUGUAGACUGCCCAGGGUUGGUUUUAUUUUUAACAGGCCCAACCCAUGA